This 400-nucleotide ribosomal RNA is filed under the name phytoplankton environmental sample. RNAcentral describes it as "partial small subunit ribosomal RNA". It matches the Rfam family "Eukaryotic small subunit ribosomal RNA", at positions 587 to 977 of the family's 1831-position model. The record is from RNAcentral.
AGCUCCAAUAGCGUAUAUUAAAGUUGUUGCAGUUAAAAAGCUCGUAGUUGGAUUUCUGAAUUGGAUAUCCGGUCCGCUUGUGUUAUCAUAAGUGUGUACUAUAGGAUAUUUGAUUCAUUAUUUGUGAGGAAAUUUAUCUGUCAUUAAGUUGAUGGAUUUAUGGACUUGCAUCAUUUACUGUGAAAAAAUUAGAGUGUUUAAAGCAGGCGUUUGCUCUUGAAUACAUUAGCAUGGAAUAAUAAAAUAUGACUUUGGUGGUCUAUUUUGUUGGUUUGCACACCAGAGUAAUGAUUAAUAGGGACAGUUGGGGGUAUUCAUAUUUUAGCGUCAGAGGUGAAAUUCUUGGAUCGCUGAAAGAUGAGCUUAGGCGAAAGCAUUUACCAAGGAUGUUUUCAUUAAU